Molecule: long non-coding RNA, 4000 nt
Organism: Loxodonta africana (African savanna elephant)
Lineage: Eukaryota; Metazoa; Chordata; Mammalia; Proboscidea; Elephantidae
Exons: 3
Source: RefSeq, a predicted model, not a curated record
GCCACCCGCUCCUCUGUAGCGUUGGCAUCCUCCCCGUCCGCACAGCCCCGCGGACUCAGAGCCGCCGAGGCUGCAGGCGCCGCCAUGCUGAAUCGCUCGCGCGGCUUUUUCCCCCUUCAGGCUCCGACCGACGAUUGGUUCCUACCGCGGGCGCGAGGCGACGCGGCGGGUCUCUUCCGGCAGGAAACGGCCAGUCACACCGCCAGGACGUGCGAGCGGCUCCAGCUGGGCUUUCUGAUUGGCCGAGACCUGCUCUCUCUGGCCGUUGAAACUUCCCUCCAGCGGGAGCGGAGCUACCGGUAGAGCCGUGAGCGGGCUGCGCUUGCCUUGUUUUAGAGUGCUGGACUGUAGUGACUGCGCGGCUGGUUAAAAUAAGAAAUAGCAUUUUAACCGUUGUUAUGAGGUGCCAGAGGCUAACAACAUCAAUCGUUCUCCGUGUAUCAUAAUGUUGUGAGAAUUUUUCUUUUCUUUGGGUUGAGGUGUAAUUCCUACCAAGGCGGUCGUGUUUGAUCUUCCUCAGACAUCCUGUAUAAUUAUUUUCCCAGCAAACACACUUUGGGAAAUGCUGCUGUAAACUACUGUUAAAGAAAAUGCUCCUACCCCCCAACUCAUGUUUAAGCUUAACUCUUUCCAGAAACUAAGUAUUUGUGAUAAAGACAGUUCUGGGAAAAGUUUAAGUAAUUAGAUAAGCCAUAGCUAGCCUAUAGAAUGCAGACAAGCAAACUGAAUAAACCAACCCAAGCCGCCUCUGCUGAUUAAAUGAAUGACAUCCUUAGUUUCUUAGUGCUGCUAUAACAGAGAUUUAUUUUCUCACGGUUUAGGAGGCUAGACGUCCAAAUUCAGGGCACCCACUCUACGGGAAAGCUUUCUCUCUCUCUCUGCUCUGGAGGAAGGUCCUUGUCUCUUUUCAGCCUCUGUUCCUCGAUUCUUUGAUGAUUUUCACAUGGUGUGCAUCUUACCUCCCGUGCAUCUUCCCCUCUGUUUGUGCUAAUCUUACUUUUCUGUGCUAAUCUGCUCUUUUUAUAUGUCAAAAGUAAUUGGCUUAAAGCAUAUGAUCUCAUUCACAUAACAAAGAAAGUUCUCUUCCCAAAAGGUACCAAAACCCAUUGCCAAUGAGUCAGUUCCGACUCAUAGCACCCCUAUAAGACAGAGUAGAACUGCACCAUAGGGAUUCCAAAGAGCGGCUGGUGGAUUCGAACAGCUGAACUUUUGGUUAGCAGCUGAGCUCUUAACUACUACACCGCCAGGGCUCUGUACUGUAUAUAAGCUGAUCAAAAUUGUAAUGUGACCAGCUCAUCUCUCUAGAGGCCUACUCCUUGCUCUUGAACAUUUUUUUUUCUGCCCAAUAAAACCUUUUAACUAUAAUUGACUUAUUGAUCAGAUUUUUCUUUUGAUACUACUAUACAAAUAUGUACAGCUACCAGCUAUUAAGUUUAUUUUAUUAUGUCUAAGUCUGACAGAAAACUCAGCAUCACUUGACACAAUUGAUCUCCUGGAUACAUUUUCUUCCUUUGACUGACAGGAUUCCAUCCUUUCCUGGUUGUUCUCACACCUUGCUAGCUAUCUCUCAGCUUUCCUUGCUGGCUAUUCCUCUUGUUGCUAAACUCUGAAUAUUGGAGUGUUCUGGACCACAGUACUCGAACCUCUUCUUUCUUUUGGAUAUAUUCAUUCCUGAGUUGAUCCCUAUGUUUAAAAUCAUUGUGGGAUUUUAUCUUAGAAAAUUCACACAGAGAUACUCAGGUUUGACAUGCUUAAGUUUAUUUAGUUUAUUGCAAGGUAGUCAUGGGAAAGCACAAAAGUUAAGACCUCACAACAUUAAUUUAGAACCAGAGAGUUAGAAUUUACAAUUAUAGUAUUAGUUAAAUGUUUAGAGUCCAAAUCUUUAGAUUUCAGGCUUUUACUUUUAAUGAUAGGUCUCAGGUGGAAGGCUUGACUAUGGCUAGAACUAAGCAAAACCCAUUGUCAUCGAGUUGAUUCCGACUCAUAGUGACCGAAGACCAGACAAGUUGUGGAAUGACAUCAAGGACAUCAUACAUGAAGAAAGCAAAAGGUCAUUGAACAGACAGGAAAGAAAGAAAAGACCAAGAUGGAUGUCAGAGGAGACUCUGAAACUUGCUCACGAAAGACGAGCAGCUAAAGCAAAAGGAAGAAAUGAUGAAGUAAAAGAGCUGAACAGAAGAUUUCAAAGGUCCGUGUAGCCAGCAGAGUCCCAGCUCCACCUCUGCCUUCUCUUAGUGAGAAUUUCUUCUGAUUUCAAGAUCUGGGUUUCCUUUAUCUGCUCUCCACAGAGCAUCAACAUGGUGCUCUAGGAAGCUGAGGAGAGGCUGCUGCCCAAGAAGCUCCUCUGAAAGCCAGUCAGGUAGAAGAGGUCAAAGAGGCACCCACUGACACCCUUUCCCAAAUUGUUAGGUUGCAGGACUAGAAGGAUCCUUUGAACACUCACUCUGCGCUGGACUUGCUGUUUUGCUUUUGGCACAUUUUGUUUCUAUCGUAGAUAACCGUGGUAUGAUGGAUCGCUUGCAUGUGGCCGUCCUAGCCAUGGUCUUGCAACUUCCAUCCAAAUGAUUGGGCGGGAUUGUGCAAUAGGGUAAUUGUGGCCCAUCAAAGGGAUUGGUCAGUUUUUGCCAUCCUUCUGGGCUUGAAAUGAGCCAUGGCAGAGGCAGGAAAAAGACCCCACCACCACCAAGGAAGAAUGGCUAGGAGCCAGCCCCUUCUUUGGACCUGGGAUCCCAGUUCUGAGAAGCUCCUGGAACCAGGAGAAAAAGAGAUGUAACACUGAAGGCAGAGACCUGGCAGCAAAGGCCCAGCAAUAGGAGAUGGCGUGGUGGGCUUCCCAGCUCAUGGAGAGAGAAAGCUGAGUGCCUUUGGGCAGAGGCCUGGGGCCAGGAAGAGGCAUGCUUGUGAGCAUGACUGGAAAGAGCCAGUCCUGUUGGAAGAACUGUAUCCUUGAGUGUUCCCGAGCCUGAAUUGUAACUGCUGCUUCCCUAAUAAACCCCAUACUCAUCAAUAUUGUCUGUGAGUUUUGUGUGGCCAUUGCAAUGAAUUAUCAAACCCAGCAGAAAAGUAGAGAGUUCUCUGGGAGGAUUGGUUGGUGUCAGAAUUGGUAAAGACAAAGAGAGAGGAGGCAUGUCUGGCCUCUGCCUCAUGGAAAUCAGCCUUGUGUUAUUGAUCUUGGUUCUCCUUUCCCAUUGUGGGUUUGGAGGAGGUCAGACAGUGCCCCCCAUGGCAUUUUUACCGUAAUUUCUCUCUCUUCUUGGGUCAUUCAUUAUGCUUUUGGCUGCAAAUAACAGAAAACUCUAUUAAAAAUAGCUUAUAUUAUAAGAAAAGUACACUAUGUCAUAUAACAGGAAGGCUGAACGUGUAUCAGUUCCAGGGCUGAUCAAUGUCACUCAACAUCAUCGUUAAGGACCCAGGGCCCUUUCAUCUCUCUAACCUGCUCGGUGCAUCCUCUUGCUCUUUUAGAAUGGCUCACUCAUGGUUUGCCUGUGGGUGGUGCGAACAGUUAACAUGCUUGGCUGCUAACCCAAAGGUUGGAGCUUCGAGUCCACCCAAAGGCACCUCAGAAGAAAGUCCUGGAGAUCUACUUCCAGAAAAUCAGCCAUUGAAAACCCUAUGGAGCACAGUUCUACCCUGACACACAUAGGGUUGCCGUGAGUAGGAGUCAACGCAACAGCAACUAAUUUCCUUCCCAGUUGCAAGAAGGUUGCUGAGGCAACAAUGGCCAGAGGGAGGAAUUCUCUCUUGCAUCCCGUAAAAGAUCAUUACAGUGCUGAACCCAGAUCUCUUUCAUCUUUUUUUUUUUUUUUUUAACCAUUUUUGUGUGUUCCCUUCCCCACUUUUCCUUCUAACAUCUAACACCCCUGGCUGUUCUUCGGAGAACUGUCUUUGGGCUACUGGAGGUAAGCAGAGAAGAAGUGCUUGGGAAUUGUCUUCCCCCUGGCCUUUGCUGACCAUGCAGGAUUAUGAAAGCACAGCACACUUGCCUGGGAAGGACAACUAA